CAACAAGUAGGGUUUUAGCUUUCACAAGAAAUCAAGAAGCAAUGCCGAAGUCGAAGCGUAAUAGAGCCGUUACCUUAUCUAAGACGAAGAAGAAGGGUAAGGAGCAUAAAGAAAACAUUGUUAACUCAAUAAGGGAAUGCGCGGAGAAGUAUAGUUCAGCGUACGUAUUUAGUUUCGAAAACAUGAGAAAUCUCAAGUUCAAG
This 203-nucleotide unclassified non-coding RNA is filed under the name Hevea brasiliensis (rubber tree). Lineage: Eukaryota; Viridiplantae; Streptophyta; Magnoliopsida; Malpighiales; Euphorbiaceae. The record is from RNAcentral.